UAGGGAAUCUUCCGCAAUGGGCGAAAGCCUGACGGAGCAACGCCGCGUGAGUGAUGAAGGUCUUCGGAUCGUAAAACUCUGUUAUUAGGGAAGAACAAAUGUGUAAGUAACUAUGCACGUCUUGACGGUACCUAAUCAGAAAGCCACGGCUAACUACGGGCCAGCAGCCGCGGUAAUACGUAGGUGGCAAGCGUUAUCCGGAAUGAUUGGGCGUAAAGCGCGCGUAGGCGGUUUUUUAAGUCUGAUGUGAAAGCCCACGGCUCAACCGUGGAGGGUCAUUGGAAACUGGAAAACUUGAGUGCAGAAGAGGAGAGUGGAAUUCCAUGUGUAGCGGUGAAAUGCGCAGAGAUAUGGAGGAACACCAGUGGCGAAGGCGACUUUCUGGUCUGUAACUGACGCUGAUGUGCGAAAGCGUGGGGAUCAAACAGG
RNAcentral lists this ribosomal RNA (429 nucleotides) under Actinomycetes bacterium. RNAcentral describes it as "Actinobacteria bacterium partial 16S ribosomal RNA". It matches the Rfam family "Bacterial small subunit ribosomal RNA", at positions 355 to 776 of the family's 1533-position model. The record is from RNAcentral. Lineage: Bacteria; Bacillati; Actinomycetota; Actinomycetes.